Vespa crabro (European hornet) is the source of this 3086-nucleotide RNA transcript. It is a transcript of the gene named conserved oligomeric Golgi complex subunit 1, with no coding region annotated. Lineage: Eukaryota; Metazoa; Arthropoda; Insecta; Hymenoptera; Vespidae. The transcript is spliced from 10 exons. The record is from RefSeq and is a predicted model, not a curated record.
AUAUAUUGUUGACGUGCAAAAAAAAGAAGUAUGUGUUUUAGUGUACGCGUAUAAAUUGAAAAUGGACCUUUGACAGUUUAAAUUUUCUAUUAUUUGCAGCGGAAUAAGGAAUGAAAAUGACGACAAUAAAUUAUUUAGAUUUAGACAUUAAUAAACUUUUCGAGCAGCAUACGAUAAAAGAAAUUGAGGAAAUUCAAAAGAAAAUUCAAUUAGAAAGUGACCGUAAAAAGAUCGAAUUACGUACUCUGGUUGGAGAAAGAUAUCGUGACUUGAUAUUAGCUGCGGAUACAAUUGGAAAAAUGAAAAUUACCGCAGAAAGGAUCAGUUCAAGAAUAGCAGAAACGGAAGAGAAAUUUCAAGAGCUUCAAGAGAAAUAUCUCAUUGGUUUUAAAACAGAUUUUGUCGAGAAUGAACCUGACAGGAAAUCCGAAGAAAUGGCUGCUGUUAUUAUUCAAAUAAAAAUAUUAAUGGACAUUCCAGAAUUUGUUUGGUCUAAUAUCGAAAGCCAAAAUUUAUUGUAUGCUACUCAAUUGUUUAUCUUAGCGCAACAUAUUAAGUAUAGAUUAAAAUUUGAAAUAGGUAACGAGGAAUUAACUUCAAAAUAUCCAAUAGUAUUUAAACAAUGGGAUAUUAUAGGUCAAUUUAAAAAUAUUAUAUUAAGAGAAUGCGAUACGAUAUUGCGAUCAUGGAAUGUAUCAAUCGAGAGUGCGGCAAACUGUUUAGCAUCGCUUAUACUAUUAAAUAAAACCCCAUAUAAGGAUUUAUUAGAGAAAUUAAUAUUUACCAGAUGUCGUGCCGUUGAAUCUAUAAUCAAGGAUGAAAAUGAUUAUAACGUUAAGACAAAGAUAAAACUCUGUAUAGAAAUGCUAAUUCAUACUAUCACAUUAAUUUAUGCUUGUUUUAUAACUGCUGGAGGUAAACAAGAAGGUUUAGUUUCGCAAUAUAUCGCACUGAUAAAGGAUGAAAAAGUAUAUUCGUUACUUUCAAAGAUCGAUGCGAACAAAGAUUUGAUAAAGAAAUAUUUAUCAUCUGUUAUAACAAAUGAGAAACCAUUUUUACAAGAAGGAGAUGAUAAAUUUUCUAUAUUAGAUCUACAAGAAUGUGUUAAAGCAUGGCUGAAUUGGCUUAAAGAAUUUUGUAAUAACGAAGUCGUUAAAUUAUUUCAAUUAAUAAUUUCUGUGAAAGGUUUAUACAGUAUACGGGAGGAGGCUGUUGGAAUUAAUUUACCAGAAAAUUGGAACAUCAUAUGGGAGGACUUUGGUUUACCAAAUAUAAGUUAUUGGUUAGAAUUUUUUCAACCACUUUUAAGUCAAAGAGCAAAAAAUAUCAUACAUGAUAAAUGGUUGGAAGCUACAAGAAAUCUAAAAACUAAUAUAUCUGAUAUGUUAAACAAAGUAACCAGAGAAAGAUGUGAAUUUCCUGAACACGAUUUACGAUGGUUCGUUUGGAAGGAUUCUCCAAGCGAUAUACCACAGAGAUUAACACACAAUAUUGUAUUGGAUAGCAAACGAUCCUUAUUAAUGAAAACUAAAGGAUAUUCUCCUAACGUGGUACAACUUUGUGAAGAUUUUGACAAUAGUUUAUGCGAAUUACUUUCAGACUUAGAACAGUAUUUGUAUGAUACUGUAUGCAAUUUAAAUAUCAAAGAUAAUUUAUUAUCUAAAAAUAUAUCCGUAAUACCUAAUACGUUUUCCGAUCGAGCCGAGAUUCAAGAUCAUUUGCAAAAUGUUAGUACAACUAUGAUAGAAGAUUUUAUACGAUACGUUAAGGAUACGUAUAUCGAUAACAAUACCAAUCAUAAUCAACAAGAAAUAAAUACGAUAGUAUUGGCGAGGCUUCUUAUGGCAUUUACCUCGUUAUCUCCUAAUUUAAAUAAAUGUUUUAAUUUAUCUAAGGCAACUGGAUUGUCUAUAACAAAUACGAAAUGGCAAACGAUAGUCGAUACUCUUAAAGAAGAAAGUAUUUCUAUAUGGUCCGUUUGGGCCAAUAAAUACAGAAAUAAAUUGAUCGAUCAUAAAGAAAAAUAUAUGUCAAAAGAAUUAUUUGAUAGUUUAAAAAUAAAAUCAGUUUUAUCAGAUUGGGAAAAGGUAAUGAUCGAAGAAGAAUCUGGGGAUGGUAAAACAUUGAAAACUGAAAUAUUAGUGCCGUAUCAACCAUCAAUAAUGCUACAGAAAUUUUUAAUGGCAGUGAUCAAGGAUUUAAAUAAAAUAAUACCACAUACCAUUCCAAAAAAAGUACUUUACGAGAUUAUCGAAGCCGUAGCAUCAGAAUUAUUCAAUUAUUAUCAAGAAACAUCCAACAUUGUUAAUCUUAAACAAAAACAAGCAUUGCAAAUAGUAUUCGACAUUAAAUAUUGUACUUUACUUAUGGUACCAAGAGAGAACAAACACUUAAACGAAAUGUCAUCGAAAGCUACAGACAGUGCACUUUCUAAAAUAGAUCCGUUCGAUUAUAACGUUAUCAAUCCAUUCAUUCACACAAACGUAAAGAAAAGCGUUUUGAGAUCUUUGCUUUUGCUUGGAAAUUUAAUACCUCAUUUGGAACAACUUCAUUCGGUUCUCGGUGCACGCAGCGAAUACAAUGCUGGAGAAGGAAAUAAAUUAGAUUCUCCAGCAUUGCUUGCACUAUGUACAGGUGCACCAUGGUUCCCUCCUCUUGCCAUAACAGUACCAAUGAGAAAUUUAUCUCUAGUAACAACAACGAUACAAGAUAAAACUCAGCGCAAGAAAGUAACGACAGCGAAGGAUAAUACAAAAACCGAAUCUACUGGAUCUACGAUAAAAUCAGGAGCAGCAGCAUUUUUUGGAGCAAUGGGUUCGGAUUGGUUCAGUGCUAGUUAAAUAAUAAAAAAAAAUAUAUAUAUAUACAUAAGUAUAUAUAUAUAUAAAAGAAAUAUAUAAAUCCUUUUGUAAAAGAAGAUGACGAUUGUGAUAAAAGAGAGAUAAAAAUUCGCGCCUAUAGUAGUUAUCGAAAGGGCCGCCAGAGGGCGCCAAAGUUCCUAUAAAGUAAUACACAUAUGAAGAUGUCGCUCUAGUUGUCAAUUGUAAGUAGUCAGACAUUUAUGAAGAUGGCCGAAUGGGUCCAUC